Molecule: long non-coding RNA, 3928 nt
Filed under: Homo sapiens (human)
Lineage: Eukaryota; Metazoa; Chordata; Mammalia; Primates; Hominidae
Description: HSALNT0302354
Rfam family: Metazoan signal recognition particle RNA (bases 1040-1156)
Source: RNAcentral
AGGGGGGGGGGGGUUGUUGCUUUGAGGGAAGUUACGCUUAUUUUUUUUUUGUCUUUUAAAUUUUUUUUUUUUUUUUUUUUUUUUUUUGAGAUGGAGUCUUGCCCUGUCGCCCAGGCUGGAAUGCAGUGGUGCUAUCUCGGCUCACUGCAACCUCCGCCUCCCAGGUUCAAGCAAUUCUCCUGCCUCGGCCUCCCGAGUAGUUGGGAUUACAGGCAUGCGCCACCACACCAGCCUAAUUUUUUGUAUCUUUAGUAGAGACGGGGUUUCACCGUGUUAGCCAGGAUGGUCUCAAACCCCUGACCUCGUGAUCCAUCCGCCUCGGCCUCCCAAAGUGCUGGGAUUACAGGCAGGAGCCACCGCGCCUGGCCCUGGAGAAAUAUUAAUAUAAGUUAUGAAGUAGUGAAUUUGUCAGGGGAACUCAAGGAUAAUGAUGACUCUUGUAAUUGGAAUUCAGAGAAAUGCUUUUACAAUGACUUAAGGUUAGAAAAAUACAUUGAGUUAAAUUUUACUUAUUCUAAGACCCAUAGUAUAUAAAAUACCACAUUUUGGGAGGUAGUGUCAUUGGUGGAUUAUGUGGUGAUUUUACAGGAUAUAUGAAAAAUAUUGAUUAGCCUAUCCAUAAAAGUCCUAGGAGAAUAGCCAGAUAUUGUUACAAAUACUUGAGCAAAGCCCCUUUACUUUUAAUGGUAAUGUAACUAUUUUCUUUUUUUUUUUCUUGAGAUGGAAUCUCGAUCUGUCGUCCAGGCUGGAGUGCAGUGACACGAUCUUGGCUCACUGCAACUCUGCCUCCCAGGUUCAAGCAAUUCUCCUGCCUCAGCCUCCCCAGUAGCUGGGAUUAUAGGCACAUGUCACCACGUCCAGCUAAUUUUUGUAUUUUUAGUAGAAACGGGGUUUCACCAUGUUGGCCAGGCUGGUCUCGAACUCCUGACCUCGUGGUCCGCCCACCUCGGCCUCCCAAAGUGUUGGGAUUAUAGGUGUGAGCCACCGUGUCCAGCCAAUGUAACUAUUUUCAUAGAGUAAGUAAGAAUCAGUGCUUCUGGCCAGGUGUGGUGGCUCACGCCUGUAAUCCUAGCACUUUGGGAGGCCGAGGUGGGUGGAUCACCUGAGGUCAGGAGUUUGAGACCAGCCUGGCCAACAUGGUGAAACCCUGUCUCUACUAAAAAUACAAAAAUUAGCCAAGUGUGGUGGUGGGCACCUAUAAUCCCAGCUACUUGGGAGGCUGAGUCACGAGAAUGGCUUGAACCUGGGAGGCUGAGGUUGCAGUGAGCCGAGAUCGUGCCGCUGCACUCCAGCCUGGAUGACAGAGCGAGACUCCAUCUCAAAAAAAAAAAAAAAAAAGAAUCAGUGCUUCCUUUAACAGGAAAUAAAUGGACAGAUUGCUAGUACAACCAAGGCUAUAGUGGGAGUGCCAUUAAUAUUUGAGAACAAGUUUCACCUAAUCAGGUAUGACAAGUUCACAUUAAGGAAUAAAGAUUGCAAUUAAUAUCCACAAUUAACACCUACAGUGUCUUCCCAGGAAACUGGUGUGGUGCCUGUUCCUUAGUUUACAGUUUCUCUCAGCCUUACAGGUUGUAAAGAAGCUACUUCCCUGCAGGCUACAAACAUUGGCGAAUUUUAGGAAUCUUGAGGAAAAGAGACAAUUAUAGCUAAAAACAGUAGUGGAGAAGAACUUCUUGAUGUUGGCUUCAUGGCCUCAGAAUAGGUUAUUUAAUUUUAAAAAAAUCAAUUAAGAAACCACUUUGGAAUGAUAAGGCUGUUGAAAAUGCACUCCUAAAUACCUUGCAUAAUCUCCAGACAGAAGUUAAUCAUCAGGCUGCAAUAGUUGCUCAGCAUCUUAUGGCACUAGAUUUGCUAACCAAAAGGAGGCUUAUGUUAAUUUAUACCUCUUGCUACAUCUGUAUAUAUGAAUCAGACUAAGUAGGUUAGAAAUUACGUAAUAAAAAGGGAACAGAUUCAGAGAAUACAUGGGAUGGCUCCCAUGGAAUCAGUAUAAUAAUGUCUCCUCACAUGUGGCACAGCACUCUGAUUAAUGGGUUCAAAAAUACAGUUAGAUAGGAGAGCUAAGUACUAGUAUUCCAUACUACAACAGGGAAAUUCUAGUUAGCAAUAAUUUGUUGCGUAUUUCCAAAUAGCUAUAUGGGAUUUGUAAUGUUCCUAACACACAGAAAGAUAAAUGUUUGAUACAUAUCCCAAUUACCCUGAUUUGAUCAUUAUCCAUUGUAUACAGGUAUCAAAAUACCACAUGUACCCCAAAAUAUGUAUGACUAUUAUAUGUUGAUUUAAAAUAAACUUAAACAAUUUUAAAAGUCUAUGGUUUUACAAAAUUUUUGGUCAUCAUAAUCAUGUCUGUGUGCUAUAAAUUAUGUCUAUAUCUAAUUUCCAUCAAAAGAACUAUAGAGGCUGGGCACGGUUGCUCAUGCCUGUAAUGCCCGUACUUUGGGAGGUGGAGGCGGGCGGAUCACUUAAAGCCAGGAGUUUGAGACCAGCCUGGCCAACAUGGUGAAACUCCGUCUCUACUAAAAGUGCAAAAAUUAGCUGGGCAUCGUGGUGGGUGUCUGUAAUCCCAUCUACCCUGGAGGCUGAGGCACGAGAAUCACUGGAACCCAGGAGGCAGAGGUUGCAGUGAGCCAAUAUCUCACCACUGCACUCCAGCCUGGGCAACAGAACAAGACUCUGUCUCAAAAAAAAAAAAAAAAAAAAAAAAAAAAAAAAAAAAAAACUAUGGAAAAUGGCCAACUAAGCAAGAAGUUCAAAUAAUGAUCUUGGCACAAAAGCAUGAGAUCAGCCUUUUUACUAUGUGAUCACGAAUGGUCUUCAGAGAUUAUUUAUGGUCACAGGGGAGACUGUUUAGGAAAAAUUAUGCAUAGUUUGGAAAUAAGGCAAAAAGAUGACUACAAGAUCUUCUUUCUGCAAUUUUUUAUUGUGUUAAGAUACACAUAACAUAAAAUUUACCAUCUUAACCAUUUUAAAGUGUACAGUACAGUGGUGUUAGAUACAUUUAUAAUGUUGUAUAACCAUUACAGUCAUCCCAUCUUCCCUCUCCAUAACCCUUCAUCUUGUAAAACUGACACUGUAAUUCCCAUUAAACAAUAAUUCCCAUUUCCUCCUCCUCCGCCACCUCCACUACCCCCAACCCCCACUCCCUGGCCCCUGGCAACCAGCAUUCUAGGAAUGUGACUAUCUGUCUCUAGGAAUGUGACUACUCUAUGUACUUAGUAUAAGUGGAAUCAUGCAGUAUUUGUCCUUUUGUGACUGGCUAUUUCAUGCAACGUAAAGUCUUCAAGGUUCAUCCCUUUUGUAGCAUAUGUCAGAAUUUCAUUUCUUUUUAAGGCUGAAUACUGUUUCAUUGUAUUUAUAUACCACAUUUCGUUUAUUCAUUCAUUUAUUGAUGGACACUUUGGUUGCUUCCUCCUUUUUGCUAUCGUGAAUAAUGCUGCUAUGAACAUGGGGUACAUUAUAUUCCUUCACGUCCCUGUUUUCAAUUAUUUUGGGUAUAUACCCCAAAGUGGAAGUGCUGGAUAAGAUGGUGCUAUGGUUUGGAUAGGGUUUAAUAGUCUCCACCAAAAUGUAUGUUGAAAUUGGAUCCCCAAUGUGGUGGUGUUGGGCCUAAUGGGAUGUCUGGGUCAUGAGGGUGGAUUCCUCAUGAAUUGACGAAUGUCCUCCCACUACGGUGAGUUCUUACUCUCUCACUAAGCGUUGAAGCAGGAGGGUUGUGAAGGUCUUUCUCCACAGAGCACAGGGCUGGAAGGGAAUUCUAGCAAGCGCACCAGGUAAGGCUUGAGAUAAUAGCUACCUUGUCUGAAUAGAAAGAAAAAUGCCCAGGGGCAAGUUUCAGAACAUGGGCUAAUAUUGCAGUGAUCGAUCCAAAGCUAUGUAGCUGGUUUCAUCCAUACGCAGAAUACAGGGUUUCCUUCUUUACUGCACUGAC